UAGGGAAUCUUCCGCAAUGGGCGAAAGCCUGACGGAGCAACGCCGCGUGAGUGAUGAAGGUCUUCGGAUCGUAAAACUCUGUUAUUAGGGAAGAACAAAUGUGUAAGUAACUAUGCACGUCUUGACGGUACCUAAUCAGAAAGCCACGGCUAACUACGUGCCAGCAGCCGCGGUAAUACGUAGGUUGCAAGCGUUAUCCGGAAUUAUUGGGCGUAAAGCGCGCGUAGGCGGUUUUUUAAGUCUGAUGUGAAAGCCAACGGCUCAACCGUGGAGGGUCAUUGGAAACUGGAAAACUUGAGUGCAGAGGAGGAAAGUGGAAUUCCAUGUGUAGCGGUGAAAUGCGCAGAGAUAUGGAGGAACACCAGUGGCGAAGGCGACUUUCUGGUCUGUAACUGACGCUGAUGUGCGAAAGCGUGGGGAUCAAACAGG
RNAcentral lists this ribosomal RNA (429 nucleotides) under Actinomycetes bacterium. Its description in RNAcentral is "Actinobacteria bacterium partial 16S ribosomal RNA". It matches the Rfam family "Bacterial small subunit ribosomal RNA", at positions 355 to 776 of the family's 1533-position model. Lineage: Bacteria; Bacillati; Actinomycetota; Actinomycetes. The record is from RNAcentral.